AUCAGUUUGUGAACAAUAUACAGGUAUCCUGAAUUCAGUGUGCAUUAUCAUUGUUUCGUCACAGAAAAACAAUCAGCAAGGGUUCAUCAAUAACAUGGCAGCAAGACGACUGAUUCUGUUGUUAGCAAUUAUCGGCAUAGCUGUGGCCUUAGAAGACCUACAGGAAGCUAUAGCGUUUUGGGCCGAGGAACAAGGGACAUUGAUGGAACAUCACCCAAAUGUUGCAGAAGAAUAUUGGUCAGAGGUCGAAAAUAUUUUAGAAAAUGAUGCAAAUGUUAAUGGUGCGUAGAUGCUGAAUACAACUACCUUCCAAUGACUGGCAGAGAAUGUCUUAGAUACCCUGAAGCGUUGAAAUAAAAUAAAUGGAAAUGAAAUA
Long non-coding RNA from Saccoglossus kowalevskii, 376 nucleotides. RefSeq lists it as uncharacterized. The record is from RefSeq and is a predicted model, not a curated record. Lineage: Eukaryota; Metazoa; Hemichordata; Enteropneusta; Harrimaniidae.